AGAGUUUGAUCAUGGCUCAGAACGAACGCUGGCGGCGUGCUUAACACAUGCAAGUCGAGUGCGCGCUUCGUAGCAAUACGGAGUGGCGCACGGCGCACGGGUGCGUAACACGUGGGUACAUGCCUUUUGGUGGGGAAUAACUCCGCGAAAGCGGAGCUAAUUCCGCAUAAGAUCCGCAAGGAUGAAAGCCGCAAGGCGCC
RNAcentral lists this ribosomal RNA (200 nucleotides) under uncultured bacterium. Its description in RNAcentral is "partial 16S ribosomal RNA". It matches the Rfam family "Bacterial small subunit ribosomal RNA", at positions 8 to 219 of the family's 1533-position model. The record is from RNAcentral.